Molecule: RNA transcript, 2649 nt
Organism: Epinephelus fuscoguttatus (brown-marbled grouper)
Lineage: Eukaryota; Metazoa; Chordata; Actinopteri; Perciformes; Serranidae
Gene name: reticulon-4-interacting protein 1 homolog, mitochondrial-like
Exons: 10
Source: RefSeq, a predicted model, not a curated record
GGUUAACUUGUUAUGUAGCCACCUAGCCGGAGAGGGGUGUGUUAUCUGCUAUCAGCUAAUCUUUAUAACACCGGUUUUCAUUUCAGGUUAAUAAGUGACACUCGGUAAUACACUUAACGUGCACACAGACGCUGUCGCUUAUUUGUUUGACUUAUUCGAUACAUUUUUUGCGAGUGCUUUGAGCGCAGACGACGUGCACAUGCUAACGUUAGCUGUGUAGCUACCUAGCUAACCAGCUAUCAUUAGCUAAGGUAGUGACAAGUGUUCUUCCUGAUGACUUGUGGUAUCAAAAGCUGACCUUGUAGGCACAGUCAGCCGCAGGACGGUGUAAAUGUGUUCUGUCAGAGCUAUGGCAUCAACCAGGCUCCUGCGUUUGUUAAACGCGAAAGCAGCAGCCUCGACCAAAACAUUAGCCAGGGCAGGGUGGAGUGUGUGCUUCAGGAGAAAUGUCUGUAGUUCACCUUCAAGACUGCAGAGCUGUAUGUCAGCCUGGGUCAUUGAUCAGUAUGGUACUAAUGAGGUUCUGAAGUACACUGAAGAAAUCCCCAUGCCCAUUGUCAGCUCUCCCAGUGAGGUGAUGAUUAAAGUCCAUGCUGCCAGUCUCAACCCUCUUGAUGUGUCUAUGAGGGGUGGUUAUGGAGCUAAACUGCUUAAAUUAAGAAGGGAUCCACUGUCUGUGAUGGGCAGUGACAAUGAUAGUGAGUUUCCUCUGAUCCUGGGUCGUGAUGUGUCUGGUGUGGUGGUGGACUGUGGAUCUGAGGUGACCCAUGUUGUUCCAGGAGAUGAGGUGUGGGCUGCCGUUCCCCCAUGGAAACAAGGCAGCCUGGCAGAAUUUGUGACUCUCACAGAGUAUGAGGUUUCCCAUAAGCCAAAAUUAUUGAGUCACACAGAGGCAGCAUCCAUCCCCUAUGUGGCCAACACUGCUCUGUCUGCCCUGGUCAAUGCAGGUGGUCUUUGCAGACACAACUCUUCAAAUAAAAGAGUUUUGAUCACUGGAGGAUCCGGAGGAGUUGGAACAUUCUCCAUUCAGUUAUUGAAGGCUUGGGGAGCCCACGUAACUGUUACCUGCUCUCAGAACGCCGAAGGCCUUGUUAGAGGACUGGGGGCCGACGAGGUGGUGGACUACACAGCGGGAGAUGCGCCCGAGCAGCUAGAAAUGAUGGAGAAGUUUGAUGUGAUUUUAGACAAUGUGGGCGGGGAGACGGAGGAGUGGGCGGUGGGCCUGCUGAAGCCCUGGUCUGGAGCGAAGUACAUCACACUGGUAACACCUUUACUCCUCAACACCGAUUCCAUGGGCCUGCUGGAUGGGGUGUUUCACGCUGGACUCACCCUGCAAAGCAAGGCCAUGCAGAACAUUAUAUCAAGUGGAGUCUUCUAUCGGUGGGGGUUUUACACUCCAGAUGGACCUGCCCUGGAUGAGGUCAGCAGGCUGGUGGAUGCAGUGAAGAUUCUGCCAGUAGUGGAGGCCCAGUUUCCGUUUACCCAGGUGCCCCAGGCUUUUCAGAAGUUGGAGCAGGGCCACGCCAGAGGGAAGACAGUCGUCAGGGUGGAUGACGAGGACGACAGACAGGCCGAAAAGCUGGUGCAGAGCAGUCGCACGGAGACCGCAGAGUCUGAGCAAGACGUGCAAGAGACGGCCAAGCAAAACUAAGAGACAGUGGAGGGAAUUCAGCUCCUGUGUUUCUUCUCACCUUUACAAGGCUGCUCUGACAGCAGAAGACUGUAUAAUUGAAUGGGAGCAGAGGUGCUGCCGUUGCGCAGCAGACUACAAGCGUGACCUGAGACUGUAAUGGGAGCAUGCCAAAGACUGUUGUUAAAUCUUACACCUUCCUGUGCUGUCUUGAAGUUUUCACAAGGUGUUGAGUUAUGCCGCGUUCCUGUCAUGGAGAGGCUGUUAUAAUUACCAGCUGUGGACUAAUAAAUACUAUUCAGGGCAGCAUCCAGCAGGUAUUACCAGGCUCUCUGUGGCCUUAUGAUUGCUGCAAUCUAUCAACAUGGAGUCAAAUAAUAAAAAAAUGUCUGAUACAAGUCUGAUGCAGCCUACAGUGAGAGAGCUGAGCAAAAGUUAAAAGUCCAGUGUGUAAGAUUUACUGGAAUAUAUGGUGGAAAUGGAAUCUAAUAGGUGUUUUCUAUAGUGUAAAGUCACCUGAAAAUAACCACCUUGUUUCUACAGCAGGCCAGAACGGACAUGAGGACGUUUUUGUGUCGGCCACCAUAGCUAGAAGCCUGUCUGCGAUGAGAGCAUCGUAAAAAAACAGAUUUUCAAAAUGUGAAUCUGCACUAUUACCCAUUUUUACUGGUUUAAAUCCCUAGUAUCAAGCUGUCGGAGUAAGCAUGGAGCCCACACUGUAACUAACUGCACUCCCUGAAGACAUAUUAUAUUUUUGUAAAAAUGAAAGAGUGAUUCCAGAGAGAAGCAGACAGAGGGGUCUACAGUCUGUGUUUGAAGGAUAUAUCCAGGAUGUCAAACUGACUCAGCAGCAACAACAGGUUAAAAAGACAAAGAUAGUUAGAAGCUAAAGCCGAACUAUAGGCUACAGAUCACAGUGUAAAAGUGAACCACCACAUCACUGCUGAUCGCCACACAAGACAAUGAAUAUAAAGGGAAACUUUGCUGAUACUGAACCAGCUGUGUGGCAUCGCAGUGUG